UUUUAUAUAAAUAAAUAUAUUAUUAUUUUAUUUAUACUAAUACUUAUGUGUUGUGUGCAAAACACUAUUGAAU
RNAcentral lists this transfer RNA (73 nucleotides) under Cocos nucifera (coconut palm). Its description in RNAcentral is "tRNA-Ile". Lineage: Eukaryota; Viridiplantae; Streptophyta; Magnoliopsida; Arecales; Arecaceae. The record is from RNAcentral.